AGCUGCGUCCGAUCAGGUAGUUGGUGGGGUAAUGGCCCACCAAGCCUAUGACCGGUGCGGGCUCUGAGAGGAGGAGCCCGGAGAUGGACCCUGAGACAAGGGUCCAGGCCCUACGGGGCGCAGCAGGCGCGAAACCUUCGCAAUGCCCGAAAGGGUGACGAGGCUACCCCGAGUGUCGUCCGCUAAGGACGGCUUUUGUCGGGUCUAAAAAGCCCGACGAAUAAGGGGAGGGCAAGUCUGGUGUCAGCCGCCGCGGUAAUACCAGCUCCCCGACUGGUCGGGACGAUUAUUGGGUCUAAAGCGUCCGUAGCCGGCCCUGUAUGUGAUCCGUUAAAUCCAGCGGCUCAACCGCUGGGCUGCGGAUCAUACUAUGGGGCUAGGGGACGGGAGAGGCCGGAGGUACUCCGCGGGUAGGGGUAAAAUCCGCUGAUCCGCGGAAGACCAACAGUGGCGAAGGCGUCCGGCCAGAACGCGCCCGACGGUGAGGACGAAAGCCAGGGGAGCGAACCGGAUUAGAUACCCGGGUAGUCCUGGCCGUAAACGAUGCCCGCUAGGUCUUGGUGAAGCUUAGGGUUUCAUCAGGGCCGCAGGGAAGCCGUUAAGCGGGCCACCUGGGGAGUACGGCCGCAAGGCUGAAACUUAAAGGAAUUGGCGGGGGAGCACCACAAGGGGUGAAGCCUGCGGUUUAAUUGGAGUCAACGCCGGGAACCUUACCAGGGGUGACGGCAGAGUGAAGGUCAGGCUAAAGACCUUACCUGACAAGCCGAGAGGAGGUGCAUGGCCGUCGCCAGCUCGUGCUGUGAAGUGUCCUGUUAAGUCAGGCAACGAGCGAGACCCUCGCUGCCAGUUGCUUCUAUGUUCCGAAAGGUACAUAGAGGAAACUGGUGGGACCGCCGCCGAUAAGGCGGAGGAAGGUGGGGG
Molecule: ribosomal RNA, 921 nt
Filed under: uncultured archaeon
Lineage: Archaea
Description: bacterial SSU rRNA
Rfam family: Archaeal small subunit ribosomal RNA
Source: RNAcentral